Molecule: ribosomal RNA, 204 nt
Filed under: uncultured bacterium
Lineage: Bacteria
Description: partial 16S ribosomal RNA
Rfam family: Bacterial small subunit ribosomal RNA
Source: RNAcentral
AUCGCAGGCUGAAACUCGCCUGCGUGAAGUUGGAAUUGCUAGUAAUCGCGGAUCAGCAUGCCGCGGUGAAUACGUUCCCGGGCCUUGUACACACCGCCCGUCACACCAUGGGAGCCGGUAAUACCCGAAGCCAGUAGUCUAACCGCAAGGGGGACGCUGUCGAAGGUAGGAUUGGCGACUGGGGUGAAGUCGUAACAAGGUAUC